Homo sapiens (human) is the source of this 536-nucleotide long non-coding RNA. Ensembl annotates it as long intergenic non-protein coding RNA 2901. The record is from Ensembl. NCBI's taxonomy places the organism in Eukaryota, Metazoa, Chordata, Mammalia, Primates, Hominidae.
GCAGAACAGGUGGAGAGGUAUGAAGAACGAGGAACACUGCCCGGGGAGUUUCUUCCUCUGCAAAAUAAGGGAGUGUGUACUGAAUUACCGUUUCCAGCUCCAACAUCCAGGAUUUCAGCACUACCUGCAGAGUAGUGGGAGGAGAGAUAGAGGAAGAAGUGAAGAUAAGAAACCACUCGAAGCCGGUGUCUGGUGCUGGGACCGUGGUGGCUGGGACGGCAGCAGUCGUGCUGUCCAUCUGCUCUUCCGAGGGGUGGCACAUCCUAGCCUCUAUCUUUUCCCCAGAGAAGAUCCCCCUCGUCUGCUCUUCCCCCGUCUCAGCCUUUUAGUGUGUGAACAGUUCUGGUGUUACUCAGCAACGCUUUUGUUAGCGCCUUUACCAGCAAGUACUUGUUAAACACUUAAAUCUUACAAGUGGAAAGAAAAUUCCGUGGUAAAUUUAAGUACAAAAGUCAACCAAAAUUCUGAGUCUCGGACAAGACUGGUUAAAAAUCGUUCUACAAUGAAACUAAUAAAUUAAAUCAUAUAAAACUUUU